RNAcentral lists this ribosomal RNA (522 nucleotides) under Triticum aestivum (bread wheat). RNAcentral's name for it is "partial small subunit ribosomal RNA". Lineage: Eukaryota; Viridiplantae; Streptophyta; Magnoliopsida; Poales; Poaceae. The record is from RNAcentral.
AUGCGUCGUCCCGGCAACGCAUUGCGUAGCCACCGACCUCCUCUGGUUGGGCCACACCACCACGGGCUGGUCCACAAUGGUUGCUGGCAGCCGUCCAAGUUGAGAGCUGAUGGUAGUCCUCUACAUGCGUCAACGAAAAAUAGAGCCUUUUCUCUUCUCAAUACACAGCACAGAAGGUAUUUGUCUCCAACUUGCAUUAAGAGUUCAAAGUACACAGAGGAAAAAGGUUCAAUUUUCAAAACUUUAAGAGUUCAAAGUACACAAGAACAUAAGUCCACUAUGCUUUGUGUCAGCUAUCUGAUAUUUGUGAGGGGAACUUCAAUUUUCUUUAGUUCAACUUUUGAAUGUGUUCCAGUUCGUCUACUUCCUAGUCGUCCUGUGUCAAUCAAAAAAAGCAGUAGUUUAGCACGAAAAAUAGAGAUUUUUCUCUUCUCAGUACACAUCACAAAAGGUAUUUGUCUCCAACUUGCAUUAAGAGUUCAAAGUACACAGAGGAAAAAGGUUCAAUUUUCAAAACCUUAA